This 225-nucleotide ribosomal RNA is filed under the name Enterococcus gallinarum. RNAcentral's name for it is "partial 16S ribosomal RNA". It matches the Rfam family "Bacterial small subunit ribosomal RNA", at positions 1164 to 1388 of the family's 1533-position model. The record is from RNAcentral. Lineage: Bacteria; Bacillati; Bacillota; Bacilli; Lactobacillales; Enterococcaceae.
CGGGGGAAGGGGGGGAGGACGUCAAUUCAUCAUGCCCUUUAUGACCUGGGCUACACACGUGAUACAAUGGGAAGUACAACGAGUUGCGAAGUCGCGAGGCUAAGCUAUUUUCUUAAAGCUUAUUUCAGUUCGGAUUGUAGGCUGCAACUCGCCUACAUGAAGCCGGAAUCGCUAGUAAUCGCGGAUCAGCACGCCGCGGUGAAUACGUUCCCGGGCCUUGUACAC